Molecule: transfer RNA, 77 nt
Filed under: Bacillota bacterium
Lineage: Bacteria; Bacillati; Bacillota
Also listed under: 2 other names
Description: Firmicutes bacterium (gut metagenome) tRNA-Val
Rfam family: tRNA
About the family: Transfer RNA (tRNA) molecules are approximately 80 nucleotides in length.
Source: RNAcentral
GGGGGCGUAGCUCAGUUGGUUAGAGCGCUUGCUUGACAUGCAAGAGGUCACAGAUUCGAGUUCUGUCGUCCCCACCA